GGAAAGGCUCCUGCUUGCAGGGGUACUCGAGUGGCGAACGGGUGAGUAACACGUGGGUGAUCUGCCUUGUACUUCGGGAUAAGCCUGGGAAACUGGGUCUAAUACCGGAUAGGACCAUGCUUUAGUGUGUGUGGUGGAAAGUUUUUUCGGUACAAGAUGAGCCCGCGGCCUAUCAGCUUGUUGGUGGGGUAAUGGCCUACCAAGGCGACGACGGGUAGCCGGCCUGAGAGGGUGUACGGCCACAUUGGGACUGAGACACGGCCCAGACUCCUACGGGAGGCAGCAGUGGGGAAUAUUGCACAAUGGGCGCAAGCCUGAUGCAGCGACGCCGCGUGAGGGAUGACGGCCUUCGGGUUGUAAACCUCUUUCGCUAGGGAAGAAGCCAUUGUGGUGACGGUACCUGGAUAAGAAGCACCGGCUAACUACGUGCCAGCAGCCGCGGUAAUACGUAGGGUGCAAGCGUUGUCCGGAAUUACUGGGCGUAAAGAGCUCGUAGGUGGUUUGUCGCGUCGUCUGUGAAAUCCCGGGGCUUAACUCCGGGCGUGCAGGCGAUACGGGCAUAACUGGAGUGCUGUAGGGGAGACUGGAAUUCCUGGUGUAGCGGUGAAAUGCGCAGAUAUCAGGAGGAACACCGAUGGCGAAGGCAGGUCUCUGGGCAGUAACUGACGCUGAGGAGCGAAAGCAUGGGUAGCGAACAGGAUUAGAUACCCUGGUAGUCCAUGCCGUAAACGGUGGGCGCUAGGUGUGGGGAUCUUUCUACGAUUUCCGUGCCGUAGCUAACGCAUUAAGCGCCCCGCCUGGGGAGUACGG
This 810-nucleotide ribosomal RNA is filed under the name Corynebacterium sp. Bacteria_91. RNAcentral describes it as "bacterial SSU rRNA". It matches the Rfam family "Bacterial small subunit ribosomal RNA", at positions 68 to 885 of the family's 1533-position model. The record is from RNAcentral. Lineage: Bacteria; Bacillati; Actinomycetota; Actinomycetes; Mycobacteriales; Corynebacteriaceae.